GCCGGUGUAGCUCAAUGGCUAGAGCAGUCGCCUUGUAAGCGAAAGGUUGUAGGUUCAAGUCCUAUCAUCGGCACCA
This 76-nucleotide transfer RNA is filed under the name Bacillus cereus. RNAcentral describes it as "tRNA-Thr". It matches the Rfam family "tRNA". From Rfam's summary of the family: Transfer RNA (tRNA) molecules are approximately 80 nucleotides in length. Their secondary structure includes four short double-helical elements and three loops (D, anti-codon, and T loops). Lineage: Bacteria; Bacillati; Bacillota; Bacilli; Caryophanales; Bacillaceae. RNAcentral also lists the same sequence under 1 other name. The record is from RNAcentral.